Molecule: ribosomal RNA, 227 nt
Filed under: Clostridioides difficile
Lineage: Bacteria; Bacillati; Bacillota; Clostridia; Peptostreptococcales; Peptostreptococcaceae
Description: partial 16S ribosomal RNA
Rfam family: Bacterial small subunit ribosomal RNA
Source: RNAcentral
CUACAUGAAGCUGGAGUUACUAGUAAUCGCAGCUCAGAAUGCUGCGGUGAAUGCGUUCCCGGGGCAUGUACACACCGCCCGUCACACCACGGGAGUUGGAGACGCCCGAAGCCGAUUAUCUAACCUUGUGGAAGAAGUCGUCGAAGGUGGAAUCAAUAACUGGGGUGAAGUCGUAACAAGGUAGCCGUAUCGGAAGGUGCGGCUGGAUCACCUCCUUUCUAAGGAGA